CCCUUAGAUGUUCUGGGCUGCACGCGCGCUACACUGAUGCAUUCAACGAGCCUAGCCUUGACCGAGAGGUCCGGGUAAUCUUUGAAACUGCAUCGUGAUGGGGCUAGAUUAUUGCAAUUAUUAAUCUUCAACGAGGAAUGCCUAGUAAGCGUGAUUCAUCAAAUCGCGUUGAUUACGUCCCUGCCCUUUGUACACACCGCCCGUCGCUCCUACCGAUUGAGUGUGUUGGUGAGGAGUUCGGAUUGGCUCUUAGUGGUGGUUCGCCACCACCUAGAGCUGAGAAGUUCUCCAAACCGCCCCACUUAGAGGAAGGAGAAGUCGUAACA
RNAcentral lists this ribosomal RNA (326 nucleotides) under uncultured eukaryote. RNAcentral's name for it is "partial 18S ribosomal RNA". It matches the Rfam family "Eukaryotic small subunit ribosomal RNA", at positions 1470 to 1796 of the family's 1831-position model. The record is from RNAcentral.